Molecule: non-coding RNA, 266 nt
Filed under: Bos taurus (domestic cattle)
Lineage: Eukaryota; Metazoa; Chordata; Mammalia; Artiodactyla; Bovidae
Also listed under: 1 other name
Description: bip internal ribosome entry site (IRES)
Rfam family: bip internal ribosome entry site (IRES)
About the family: This family represents the bip internal ribosome entry site (IRES). BiP protein expression has been found to be significantly enhanced by the heat shock response due to IRES-dependent translation. It is thought that this translational mechanism is essential for the survival of cells under stress.
Source: Rfam by way of RNAcentral
CGCUGACCGAGACAUCACAGACACAUCAACUUAAGCUUUUCGUGCGUUUGAGAGGUAGGUGCUGCGGCCUGUCUUUUCGGACCUGCCCUUCGCAUUGUCCACUGUUCUGAUCCCGGGCCCUGUCAUCCUCAGCUCAGUAACCUCGGUGCGCUCCUGUGUUUGCGGCCUGUGGCUGGUUUUCCUGCGAAGCCCUAUAGCUGACUGCUGACCGACUGGCCGACGGCGCUGGAAAGAUGAAGCUGUCCCUGGUGGCUGCGGUGCUGCUG